Molecule: ribosomal RNA, 276 nt
Filed under: uncultured soil bacterium
Lineage: Bacteria
Description: partial 16S ribosomal RNA
Rfam family: Bacterial small subunit ribosomal RNA
Source: RNAcentral
AGGACGAACGCUGGCGGCGUGCUUAACACAUGCAAGUCACGGGGGUCCCGCAAGGGAUAACCGGCGAACGGGUGCGUAACACGUGAACAACCUGCCCUCGUGUGGGGGAUAGCCGGGCUAACGCCCGGGUAAUACCGCAUACGUUCUCUUUGGGGAGUCCCGAGGAGAGGAAAGCUCCGGCGCACGGGGAGGGUUCGCGGCCUAUCAGCUAGUUGGCGGGGUAAUGGCCCACCAAGGCGACGACGGGUAGCUGGUCUGAGAGGAUGGCCAGCCACA